UGGGGAAUAUUGCACAAUGGGCGCAAGCCUGAUGCAGCCAUGCCGCGUGUAUGAAGAAGGCCUUCGGGUUGUAAAGUACUUUCAGCGGGGAGGAAGGCGUUGAGGUUAAUAACCUCAGCAAUUGACGUUACCCGCAGAAGAAGCACCGGCUAACUCCGUGCCAGCAGCCGCGGUAAUACGGAGGGUGCAAGCGUUAAUCGGAAUUACUGGGCGUAAAGCGCACGCAGGCGGUCUGUCAAGUCGGAUGUGAAAUCCCCGGGCUCAACCUGGGAACUGCAUUCGAAACUGGCAGGCUAGAGUCUUGUAGAGGGGGGUAGAAUUCCAGGUGUAGCGGUGAAAUGCGUAGAGAUCUGGAGGAAUACCGGUGGCGAAGGCGGCCCCCUGGACAAAGACUGACGCUCAGGUGCGAAAGCGUGGGGAGCAAACA
Molecule: ribosomal RNA, 427 nt
Filed under: uncultured bacterium
Lineage: Bacteria
Description: partial 16S ribosomal RNA
Rfam family: Bacterial small subunit ribosomal RNA
Source: RNAcentral